CUUCCCUUGAGCGGGGACAACGUUUCGAAAGGAACGCUAAUACCGCAUAAGUUCUCCGAGACUCCGGUCUUGGAGAGGAAAGCUAGGUAGCAAUAUCCGGCACUCGAGGAGGAGCCUGCGUCGCAUCAGCUAGUUGGUGGGGUAAUGGCCUACCAAGGCUAAGACGCGUAGCUGGUCUGAGAGGAUGAUCAGCCACACUGGGACUGAGACACGGCCCAG
This 219-nucleotide ribosomal RNA is filed under the name uncultured bacterium. RNAcentral's name for it is "partial 16S ribosomal RNA". It matches the Rfam family "Bacterial small subunit ribosomal RNA", at positions 126 to 334 of the family's 1533-position model. The record is from RNAcentral.